GGAAAGGAAUACCAUGGUGGAACUGCAAGAUGGCAUUAAAGUUCCUGCUUGGCAGUGCCACAAGUCACUUGGGCUUAUUUUGGACUGGCCAAAGCAAGUCAUGAGAAGCAGUAAAAUAUUGGCUGUUUCCUUUCCUCAGAAAUGGUUUAUGGAAGAUCAUAAAUAUAAAAAUAAUAGCUAAAAUUUAUUGGAAUACCAUUUACAUGCCAGGGCUUUACUAAGCAUUUACAGAUGGGAACACUUAAUUCUCACAGCAUCCCUGAGGCAUUGGCACCUCUCAUCACUUCCUCCCUUUAUAUCCUUCAAAUGUAUGAAGUGUUGCAUUGCAAAGGACUUUGCCCUCUGCUGAGACAUUUUCCCAGAUAAUCAGCAGCAAAAUCUUCAAAAAUUUGGCCUCCAUUUUGUGGAAGCAGCUAUCCAUAUGCCAUAUUCUACUGAGGAUGGAGUCUUCUUUGCCAGCAGGGAGAAACAGCCCAGCUUCAUUGGUUUGAAGAUCAUUAAGCAGACUGGUAAUUCACCUGAUGCAGACCCUUAUUCUAUUAUUCUAGGUAAGCACAAAGCUAUUAAUAUAUCUUUUUGUUUUCAUAGUUUUAACAAAUGGCCUGUGAUGCAAAGCAUAUGCCUGAGAUUGUAUAUGCUCAUGUAUUUAAGUAUACAAACACAUUAG
This 667-nucleotide long non-coding RNA is filed under the name Callithrix jacchus (white-tufted-ear marmoset). RNAcentral describes it as "lncRNA (ENSCJAG00000073893.1)". The record is from RNAcentral. Lineage: Eukaryota; Metazoa; Chordata; Mammalia; Primates; Cebidae.